This 100-nucleotide non-coding RNA is filed under the name Yersinia mollaretii. Its description in RNAcentral is "Yersinia sRNA 224". It matches the Rfam family "Yersinia sRNA 224". The record is from RNAcentral. Lineage: Bacteria; Pseudomonadati; Pseudomonadota; Gammaproteobacteria; Enterobacterales; Yersiniaceae.
AGAUUAUUGACAAAGUGCCCGCAGUAGAGAGAACAGGCAGAUCGUAAAGACGCCGUAAAUCCCUCCCUGGAGGCUCGAGCCGCGCCAUCCCUGGCGCGGA